CAUCCUUUUAUAGAUAGCACAAAGACUUGUCCAAGGUCAUCAUUCAUUUCCUCAAGGUGACCUGAUUCGCAGCCAGAUGCUCAUCGUGCUCCAGCAGCUGUGGUGAGCUCCCUCUCCUCUUCUGGCAGGGAAAGGAGGUACCCAAGGCCCUAUGUUGCUCCCAAACAAAGCCAGGUCGUCUGAGACCUCAGGGAGGUACCUUCAUGACCCAUUAUUGGCCACUGCAAGUCUUGAAGACGGACAUACCCUUACAAAAGGCAUAAGGAUAUUGCAUGGAUCUUCCUACUGGGCUGUAGGCUGUGCUCCAAUUUACUAGUAAAUGGAACUCUGGGUAGUAGGGUCCUCUUCUCUUUGCACCAUCCUGAGUCCAUGGGCUUGACCUCUACCCCUCCAUCUCCUGCCUGUGUAAGAUCCAAAAGUCCAGCCUAAUUCUCCUUUCCUACAUCCACAGCAAAUGCUCCUGCCUUGGAUUAUUUUAGGACUGUGAUUCCUCUCCUGGAGCAUGGUCUCCAUCCGAAUGAAGAGAUGUGUGGGUGGCCAUGUGAAACACAUACGGAGCAUCACUGCAUUUGCGCAAUUUCCACCUCAAAUCUGAACCUGGUCAUGCAAGCCUGAAGACAGCUGGCUUCCCCGAGACAGCCUAGCCCAGCAUCAUAAUGUGGGCUGCUGUCAGUUAGACCCAGUCUGGGGCUGCCAAAUUAAUGAGCCCCUAGACUAUCCAAGAUGAUCUGCACAGUGGCUUCUGUUCUUUCCCUGGCUUCAUCUUUAUAGCUGUCCUCAGUGAGAUGAGCACUGAAGAAGAAUUAAAUAAGGCCAUGAGCACAUCAACAAUGAGAAUGGUCAAUAUCACCUAUGCUGAGGCUUUACCUGGGGCCAGAGGCCAGGAUUUGUCCAGAAAAUUUGUACCUUUAGGGUGCCAGCAAGGUGGAGAACUUGUCCUUGUCUGCACCCUAUUUCAUCUGACUUGCUCUAAACCCUUCAUCAGAACCUGAACCAGAGCUGAGGUUCACAUGGAUAAUCUCUCCCUUGAGGCAGAGUUAACUCUCUUCGGCCUACAGACAGCAAAGGAGAAUGAUAUUCAAUGGAAAAAUUCAAUGUUCUCAGGCUACUCAAAACUUCCUGU
RNAcentral lists this long non-coding RNA (1123 nucleotides) under Homo sapiens (human). Its description in RNAcentral is "HSALNT0165297". The record is from RNAcentral. Lineage: Eukaryota; Metazoa; Chordata; Mammalia; Primates; Hominidae.